This 249-nucleotide ribosomal RNA is filed under the name uncultured Actinomycetales bacterium. Its description in RNAcentral is "partial 16S ribosomal RNA". It matches the Rfam family "Bacterial small subunit ribosomal RNA", at positions 82 to 334 of the family's 1533-position model. The record is from RNAcentral. Lineage: Bacteria; Bacillati; Actinomycetota; Actinomycetes; Actinomycetales.
GGUAGGUACUCGAGUGGCGAACGGGUGAGUAACACGUGGGUGAUCUGCCCUGCACUCUGGGAUAAGCCUGGGAAACUGGGUCUAAUACCGGAUAGGACCGCACUUUAGUGUGUGUGGUGGAAAGUUUUUUCGGUGUAGGAUGAGCCCGCGGCCUAUCAGCUUGUUGGUGGGGUAAUGGCCUACCAAGGCGGCGACGGGUAGCCGGACUGAGAGGUUGGUCGGCCACAUUGGGACUGAGAUACGGCCCAG